AUUGAACGCUGGCGGCAUGCCUUACACAUGCAAGUCGAACGGUAACAGGUCAAGCUGACGAGUGGCGAACGGGUGAGUAAUAUAUCGGAACGUGCCCAGUCGUGGGGGAUAACGCAGCGAAAGUUGUGCUAAUACCGCAUACGAUCUACGGAUGAAAGCGGGGGAUCGCAAGACCUCGCGCGAUUGGAGCGGCCCGAUAUCAGAUUAGCUAGUUGGUGGGGUAAAAGCCCACCAAGGCGACGAUCUGUAGCUGGUCUGAGAGGACGACCAGCCACACUGGAACUGAGACACGGUCCAGACUCCUACGGGAGGCAGCAGUGGGGAAUUUUGGACAAUGGGCGCAAGCCUGAUCCAGCAAUGCCGCGUGCAGGAUGAAGGCCUUCGGGUUGUAAACUGCUUUUGUACGGAGCGAAACGGCUUUCCCUAAUACGGAAGGCUAAUGACGGUACCGUAAGAAUAAGCACCGGCUAACUACGUGCCAGCAGCCGCGGUAAUACGUAGGGUGCGAGCGUUAAUCGGAAUUACUGGGCGUAAAGCGUGCGCAGGCGGUUAUAUAAGACAGAUGUGAAAUCCCCGGGCUCAACCUGGGACCUGCAUUUGUGACUGUAUAGCUGGAGUACGGUAGAGGGGGAUGGAAUUCCGCGUGUAGCAGUGAAAUGCGUAGAUAUGCGGAGGAACACCGAUGGCGAAGGCAAUCCCCUGGACCUGUAC
Molecule: ribosomal RNA, 711 nt
Filed under: uncultured bacterium
Lineage: Bacteria
Description: bacterial SSU rRNA
Rfam family: Bacterial small subunit ribosomal RNA
Source: RNAcentral